This 260-nucleotide unclassified non-coding RNA is filed under the name uncultured Verticillium. RNAcentral's name for it is "sequence contains ITS2". Lineage: Eukaryota; Fungi; Ascomycota; Sordariomycetes; Hypocreales. The record is from RNAcentral.
AACGCACAUGGCGCCUUCCAGUAUCCUGGGAGGCAUGCCUGUCCGAGCGUCGUUUCAACCCUCGAGCCCCAGUGGCCCGGUGUUGGGGAUCUACUUCUGUAGGCCCUUAAAAUCAGUGGCGGACCCGCGUGGCCCUUCCUUGCGUAGUAAUUUUCGCUCGCAUCGGAGUCCCGUAGGCACCAGCCUCUAAACCCCCUACAAGCCCGUCUCGUACGGCAACGGUUGACCUCGGAUCAGGUAGGAAUACCCGCUGAACUUAA